RNAcentral lists this non-coding RNA (26 nucleotides) under Cricetulus griseus (Chinese hamster). The record is from RNAcentral. Lineage: Eukaryota; Metazoa; Chordata; Mammalia; Rodentia; Cricetidae.
UGAACUCCUGUUCUACACUUCCCCCC